UCCAGUAGUACACUUCCAUGAUUCUAUGAAAAUAGGGUGCACCAUGGGUAGGCAUUCCACUGUGCCCUAUGACACUGUCCAGCACAAUGCUCUAUCUGUUUCCCGGCUAAGGAGAAAGGCUGUCAAAAGGGGGAACAAAAUCAGGCUUGAAUUCAGUCUGAGACAUAGCCAAGGGAAAAAAACUAACAAACCCCAUAACAGUGCUUUGGAACUGAGAACACUCUGGUCUGAACAUCUGCCUUGUCCCUGUGGCCCUCACUACAGCAUUUGAACGUCUUAAAAUUAUUGGUGGUCCCUUCUUCUGCCUUUGAGGAGGAACAAGUGGUUUCUCUUGGAACAUAUUUCUUUUUUAUACGUCUGGAAUGCCAAGAGAAAGAAACACAUCUUGCAGUUAGCUCUGUAAAAUGCGGUGCGCCCUGCUCAGAGUUGUCUGAGCAGCUACUGAAUUGUCCUGCUAUUAAGAAAGUUCAGCCUCUUUUCUGCUGUCGCAUGUGACCCUCUUGAGGGCAACAGCUUCAUGUUUCCAGUGGAAUGUUGCUGUCAUGGUGAUGGAGGGGUGUAUGAUCUCUUUAGUAGCCAGGCAACAUCCCUCUGAGUAUUUGGAUAUGAUGACGAAGACUUCGAAAACGACUCUGCAGUCAAGGUGCGUGGGAGGAGGGGUGGCUCAUGUGGAGAGUGACGUGCUGGAGUGGAGACCCGCUGCAGCAUAAGCUGGAGCCUGCCAAAGACGCUGUCUCGGUACAUUGCAAGCCCAGUUUCUGCUGGUGUCCAUUCAAGAACUGUGUGGCAGUGUGAGGGAGCUGUGUCUGGAAGCCUUGAGAAGAAGCCCCUGUGACAGGCUGGAGGGGAGCUACACCCAGCCACGGUGAGAAGUGUAAGAGAGCCCGUGAGCAGGGCAAAGGAGAAGACCAGGACAGAAAGUGAACAAGAACUCCAUACAACACUGAGCGGGGAGUCUACCACGGCCCCACGAGAAGCAGUGGACACCUUCUGACAUCCGAAGGAAGGCAUCCCACAACUAUCCAGUGAUGAAGAGAGGGGAAGUGGAGCACAGGAAGAGCCAGGAGCUAUUCUCGCUCCAGCCAAUUGUGACCUAGCCAAACCCAGAGGUGGAACCCACUGAGAAAGGGGAAGAUAAUUCUGCUAACACCUGCAGCCUGAGCAAGUGCUGGGAUCUGGCCUGCCAGCAUCACGAAAAUACAUAUACCAAUACCCAAGCAUCCAAAGUAAAUACAUGGAAGAGAAACAAGAAUGCGCACAAUGCUCCAACCACUGGGCACUCAUACCGCAUAAUUUUGCAGGAAGAACAUUGCUCAUUUUCUGACAGCAUGUUUUGCACUCAAACACGCUAUUUUUGUUUCUGAGGCCACAUGUCCAAAACAAAUUACUCGCAGACCAGGCUUUGUUUCAGGAGAAAGGAAAAUGGUAUGUUGCUGGCUCCAAGGGCUUGUGGGCUCACAAAGCUAGCCAGUGAGCACAGCUCUUCUCUGCUUGCAGAGACUCUGGUUUAUCUUAUCCUCGCCCUCCCUUUUGUCCUUGGGCACAAUUUCAGUGAUGUUCUCAAAUAAGGACUGUUUGAUCUUUGCACAUUUCCAGGAAUAGCUGACUUGUUUCACCUGCUGCAAUAAAACAACUUCCAAAGCCAUUCUGCAGUUAGCUCUGGGGCCACCAUCACUGUGAAGAAGUCAGGAGCAUAUGGCCUGGAGUGACCAGGAGACAUCUCAAGCAAAAUGACCUGUGCCUAGCGGUCGUGCAGGGGCAGAGCAAGGGCAGUCCACUUCAGCAGUGUUACUGAGCAUGCUCAGUCUGUGUAUGCAUGCUCAGUACAAGCAAAACAGUGAAUUGGUCGGGGGUGGGGCGGGCAUGUGACCCUGCAUUGCUCUCCGUGCAUCACCUGUGAUCUCAAGCAUCUGCAUUCUAUGGGUCUUUGACAGCUUGCCUCAGGAAACCUUGAUCACCAUUGCCUGUAAUGACUUUAGCAGUGUUCUCGACUCUGUCCGUUGUCACAUGGGCACCUCGAUGCUGUUCAGCCCUGCCACUUCUCGUAGCUACCAGGUUUGCAAAUCAUCCCCCUACACUCAGGCGAUGUCUAGACUGAAGAGUUUUUGCGCAAAAACUUGUGGAGCAUCCACACUGCAAACACGUUUUUGCGCAAGAAAAUGUACAGAAAAUCAGAAGAGGAGAGGGGUUUUUGAGCAAUAGUUAUUCCUCUUCCUACGAGGAAUAAGCCUUUUUGCACAAGAGCUCUUGUGUAAAAGGCUGUGUGUGGACGGGAAAUAGGUUUUUUUUUCUGCAAAAACAGCCUAUAGAAAGAAGCACAGGUGCCCUGGUGGCCA
Long non-coding RNA from Pelodiscus sinensis (Chinese soft-shelled turtle), 2336 nucleotides. RefSeq lists it as uncharacterized. The record is from RefSeq and is a predicted model, not a curated record. NCBI's taxonomy places the organism in Eukaryota, Metazoa, Chordata, Testudines, Trionychidae.